GAUGAAGAACGUAGCGAAAUGCGAUAAGUAAUGUGAAUUGCAGAAUUCAGUGAAUCAUCGAAUCUUUGAACGCACAUUGCGCCCCUUGGUAUUCCGAGGGGCAUGCCUGUUCGAGCGUCAUUAUAACCCUCAAGCUCAGCUUGGUGUUGGGGCCUGCUGCACUGGCAGCCCUCAAAAUCAGUGGCGGCGCCAUCUGGCUCUAAGCGUAGUAAUUCUUCUCGCUAUGGAGUCCUGGUGGAUGCUUGCCAUCAACCCCCAAUUUUUCUAUGGUUGACCUCGGAUCAGGUAGGGAUACCCGCUGAACUUAAGCAUAUCAAUAAGCGGAGGA
RNAcentral lists this unclassified non-coding RNA (328 nucleotides) under soil metagenome. RNAcentral's name for it is "partial contains 5.8S ribosomal RNA, internal transcribed spacer 2, and large subunit ribosomal RNA". The stretch from base 1 to 120 matches the Rfam family "5.8S ribosomal RNA", at positions 35 to 154 of the family's 154-position model. The record is from RNAcentral.